This 503-nucleotide ribosomal RNA is filed under the name uncultured bacterium. RNAcentral describes it as "bacterial SSU rRNA". It matches the Rfam family "Bacterial small subunit ribosomal RNA", at positions 8 to 507 of the family's 1533-position model. The record is from RNAcentral.
AGAGUUUGAUCAUGGCUCAGAUUGAACGCUAGCGGGAUGCCUUACACAUGCAAGUCGAACGGCAGCGCGGACUUCGGUCUGGCGGCGAGUGGCGAACGGGUGAGUAAUGUAUCGGAACGUGCCCAGUAGCGGGGGACAACCACUCGAAAGAGUGGCUAAUACCGCAUACGCCCUACGGGGAAAGGGGGGGAUCGCAAGACCUCUCACUAUUGGAGCGGCCGAUAUCGGAUUAGCUAGUUGGUGGGGUAAAGGCCUACCAAGGCGACGAUCCGUAGCUGGUUUGAGAGGACGACCAGCCACACUGGGACUGAGACACGGCCCAGACUCCUACGGGAGGCAGCAGUGGGGAAUUUUGGACAAUGGGGGAAACCCUGAUCCAGCCAUUCCGCGUGUGCGAUGAAGGCCUUCGGGUUGUAAAGCACUUUUGGCAGGAAAGAAAUCGUGUGGGUUAAUACCCUGCGCGGAUGACGGUACCUGCAGAAUAAGCACCGGCUAACUACGUG